AAACGACUCUCGGCAACGGAUAUCUCGGCUCUCGUAACGAUGAAAAACGUAGCGAAAUGCGAUACUUGGUGUGAAUUGCAGAAUCCCGUGAACCAUCGAGUCUUUGAACGCAAGUUGCGCCCGAAGCCAUUAGGCCGAGGGCACGUCUGCC
This 151-nucleotide ribosomal RNA is filed under the name Erythranthe androsacea. RNAcentral describes it as "5.8S ribosomal RNA". It matches the Rfam family "5.8S ribosomal RNA". Rfam says of the family: 5.8S ribosomal RNA (5.8S rRNA) is a component of the large subunit of the eukaryotic ribosome. Lineage: Eukaryota; Viridiplantae; Streptophyta; Magnoliopsida; Lamiales; Phrymaceae. The record is from RNAcentral.